Long non-coding RNA from Poecilia latipinna (sailfin molly), 232 nucleotides. RefSeq lists it as uncharacterized. NCBI's taxonomy places the organism in Eukaryota, Metazoa, Chordata, Actinopteri, Cyprinodontiformes, Poeciliidae. The record is from RefSeq and is a predicted model, not a curated record. The transcript is spliced from 3 exons.
UGUAACAGUGUUUAGGUUGUAGAAUCCCACUUGCUUUAUGUAUCAGUGCAAUGGGGAAAUAGCGCCCCCCCUCUCUGUGUGGCUGGUUAUAUGCUGCUGGCUCCUGCACUCAGUGCCAGUCUGUGAAAGCUGCACAAGAGUGUGCUGAUUGAAGCUGAGCCGUUGCACUGAUUCCAACCCGAUAUGUUCUCAUUCAGGAAAUAAACUGCAGAUCACCCAGAAACUCCUUGUC